This 68-nucleotide transfer RNA is filed under the name Phyzelaphryne miriamae (Miriam's frog). RNAcentral's name for it is "tRNA-Val". The record is from RNAcentral. Lineage: Eukaryota; Metazoa; Chordata; Amphibia; Anura; Eleutherodactylidae.
CAAAAUAUAGCUUAUCAAGCGUCUUGCUUACACCAAGAAGAUGUUCACUAACCUGAACUAUUUUGAUG